Molecule: long non-coding RNA, 2865 nt
Organism: Haemorhous mexicanus (house finch)
Lineage: Eukaryota; Metazoa; Chordata; Aves; Passeriformes; Fringillidae
Exons: 5
Source: RefSeq, a predicted model, not a curated record
ACAUAUCUGGGGAGCACCCAUGGCCCUCAUCUGCUGCUGGGUAAUGUUGAGCAUGAGAAUGUGGACUGACACACCCUCAUUCCUUCUGUGUUCCUUAAGGUCCUGGUAUCCCCCUUUUCAUGCUUUCCCUUGCAGAUUUGCUUAUUUCUUAAUAGUGCAACAUAGUAUAUUGUGCAUUUGCUGGAAGCCUAAAAAAGCAUGACAGAUUUUAUCAUUUGGGCUGUAGAUAUUCAAUGCCCAUUAUGGGCUGACUAAAUUUAGUAGAGUGGCAAUUCACCAGACUACUAAAUUUAGUUAGGACAUCCGGUCAUAUCAUUUUACUUAGCUUAAUAUUGGAUAUCAUGAGAUAGGGCCUAUCUAACAGUAUGACUCCAGCUUCCCCAGCUGCAGAUUAUAUUAACACUAUAGCUUUUCAAAACAUUCAUGCUAACUUUUUUAAAGUCUUAACAUUUUUUAGUUUGUAUAUUUUGUUACAAGUUUAUAAAUAUGGUCAAAAUUAAUUUGGUUUUCACAGUCAAGAUCACUGUUAAAAAAAUGAUGCUUCUGUUUUCAUUUAAGCAAAACCUUUCUCUUUCCUUGUUUAACUUCAGUUAGAAUAGGAGGAAUUUUAUCAUCAUAACUAGUUGGACAAGGUGGAGUCCCAUUUGGAGAGAAAUUUUGCACAAUGAUUUUCAUUGCCUUCAUGCAUUUCUCAUUGCUAUCAAAUUUCUGUUUUGUUCCAGACAGGAAAGAAAAAAGCUUUAUGAGAAUCCAGACAACCUGGCCUGUGACAGCAAGGAGUACUCACUGCUGAAAAUUCAAACUUGUCUUGUGUAGAGUAAAUGGGAAAGAGAUCUUGGUAGAUUCCAUGCACAACAGCUGGAGUUAUGGCAAUAGGAUCAAAUAUGACUAACAGAAUGGCACUUACAAGCUCAUCAGCCCUGCUAUAAUUCUUAUGUGUUAUAUGGCAAGAAAAUUGCAGUAGCAAUAUUUUGGGAGUCUGUGCAUUUAAUAUAUGGAAAGAAAAUUGCAGUUGCAAUAUUCUGGGAGUCUGUGGACUUAAACUUUUGUGGGAGGCCUUGAAAGGGAGCCAGUGUCUCUCCAUCCCGAGUCAGUCAUUUCCUAUCCAAGUAAACUGGACUGAGAUCAUCUAGAUUCUAGUUUUUGCUUCUAAUGAGCUUUCACAGUAAAACAGGAAAUAAUAAUCUUGAAAGGGGAAAAAAUGGUCAAAAAUCACUCAGAGAACAUUUAAAGGUUUGUUCUGAACAAGCAGGGCUAAGAAAAAGGCCUGAGAAAAGUGUGUCCUGGGAUCACUCACAGUUAAAGCACUGAUUAAUUAAGCAGAGGGUCAUUCUUCAGAAAGACUCAAGGGCAGUUUUGGCCCCGCGGCUGUAAUUUGGACACUUCUGGAGUUCUAGAUACACUGAGCUAUUCUGUGCAGGGCCUGUGAAUAUGUGCAUUCUUCUGGCUGAACAAUGGCAUCUUUAUUCAAAUGGGAGCCACUAAGUAAGUGGCUGUCUCCUAAUAUGGGUGGUAUUUCUUCCUGCUCUGCCUCAAUCUCUGCUGCUUUCCCGUGGUCUUAUCAGUGCUUUGUAGCACAACUUACAAAAUGAAAUCUAUUCAUAAUGUUAAAACCCUCCCCCUUUUAUAGACACAGGAAAAAAAACCCCAAACGCUUACAUAUCCUCCAAUUCUAUGGCAGGGUGUUUACUUUUUUAAAUGCAAUUCUGCUUAUCUGACGCUGGUUUGGAAAUUAAUAAAAUAGUGCCUGGCUUUUAUUGUUUUGACUAUGGGAAGGAAAUUAAUCCACAACUAUUACAAGUGUUUGAUCCAAAUAAGCAGAGAUAAAACUACGGUUUCAAGAAAUGUCGUUCCCUGUUUGUCAGGUAUCCUAGUGCUCCUGACAUGUCUGAUUUAUUCCUGCCUUGUUUAGCAGCAGCACUGUCCAGGUAGCUGAUGCCCAUUCAUCUUGCUUUGUGUAGGUAUUUCUUCCGAAUGGCUUUUUUUAUUAUGCCUUAACUACUGUUCCUUCUUACUCACUAGGUUUGGCUCUGCCAGCGGUUAGAAAAGACAUUGUUUGUCUAAAGAGACAAGGGUGUGGUGAAAAUACUCUGUGCCAGCCAAGUGAACCAAAACACUCUCUGAAUUAGCACGCAGGCUGGAAAAUAAAAUUUAACUGACAGAAGACCUGGACCCCACCUGUGCUGAGAGACAGAGAGAAAAAAAUCACAGGAAUUGCCAUGUACAGUUGGAGCAUCUGCACUAUGAAAUUCACCCUGUAUGAAUGGACACUCAGAUGUCUUCACUUCAAGCAGAGAAGACACAACUCUCAGGCUGAAUUAGGCCAUUUGGAGAGGCUUACCAAAAUGUCCAUGGGUUACAGACACAAAACUUUUAUUUCACAAUGGUCUGGACUGAGCACUUGGCAGUAACAUGCGAACUCUGACCACAUCACCGGUGUGAAAUUGCUGAUUAACCUUUUGACUCUGACAAUUGGGACUUCUCUCAACACCAACUGGUAACGCAGAAGACCAUUAGUAGUUAAUAUUGGGACAUCCCGGCUCCAGAUGUCAAAAGUUGUAGAUGUUGAAACUCGAUUUAUCCAGAAGCUGGGGAGGCCCUGAACAGUGUCCACCCGUUCUGAAAGAGAGAAUUAGCAGCACAACAGCCCUCUAACAAAAAUGGUACAUUCAAGGGGAAGCUUCAGGAAUCAGCAUAGGCAGCGUUAGCCCCAGAGGCUGACAAGGCGGUCGAAUGUACGCAGACAAGCUGCUCUCCCCAAGCAGGCGGGCUCUGCCAGCAUCUGAGAAGUGAAAACCUGCCUGCGCCGCAGGUGAGAAAGCAAAUAACGCAGGGUGCCGCCGCGGGAGUACCGCCCGCCAGCGG